CAUCUCUUUUAGAUAAAAAUUUUAAGUUGACUCUGCCCAAUGAAAGGAAUUUGAAUGGCUGCAGUAUAUUAACUGUACAAAGGUAGCAUAAUAAAUUGUUUUUUAAAUGAAAACUUGAAUGAAAGAGGUGAUGAAAUAUAAACUUUUUUUAAUUAAAUUUUUGAAUUUAAUUUUUAAAUAAAAAAGUUUAAAUAAAUUUAAGGGACGAGAAGACCCUAUAGAAUUUUACAUUGUAAUUUUAUUUAAUAUUAAAAUAAUAUAAUGUUUGUUUGGGAGGAAUAUUAAAAUUUUAAACUUUAAAAUUAAUAUACAUAUAUAAAUGGUUAAAUUGAUUUUAUUUAAUUAAAUUUAAAAUUAAAUUACCUUAGGGAUAACAGCGUAAUAUUUUUUGAUAGUUCAUAUUAAAAAAAAUGUUU
RNAcentral lists this ribosomal RNA (416 nucleotides) under Epyris sp. RNAcentral describes it as "partial large subunit ribosomal RNA". Lineage: Eukaryota; Metazoa; Arthropoda; Insecta; Hymenoptera; Bethylidae. The record is from RNAcentral.